Molecule: long non-coding RNA, 1423 nt
Filed under: Homo sapiens (human)
Lineage: Eukaryota; Metazoa; Chordata; Mammalia; Primates; Hominidae
Description: HSALNT0148092
Source: RNAcentral
GGCUAAAAGAUGGCUGCUGGCGCCUGGCAGCCACCGCCUGGGAGGUUACUGUAAGGCCCGCAGCUCCCGCCAGCUCCCGCGGACUGCUGCCGCCUCCUUACCAUGAAGCCAGUAAGUCGUCGCACGCUGGACUGGAUUUAUUCAGUGUUGCUGCUUGCCAUCGUUUUAAUCUCCUGGGGCUGCAUCAUCUAUGCUUCGAUGGUGUCUGCAAGACGACAGCUAAGGAAGAAAUACCCAGACAAAAUCUUUGGGACGAAUGAAAAUUUGUAACUCUUCUGGAUUUAAUUAUCUGAAAAUACAGUUCUUUCCCUCAUGCUUAUGUAGAUAUAAAAAUAAAAUUCAUAAUGCAAAGUUCCCAAGUUUAUUUUUGCAUUAUCCUUUAUAACAAGCACUAGUAUGCAAAUUUUUCACUUAGAGAUUUUAGUAUUUUACAUUCUCAUGACAAAAUUAACAGCAACCUAAAUCUGACAGUCUUGAGUGUCAGAUCAUAGUUGGAAUAAGCUUUUCAAUCAAGUUUCUAAAUUCUUCAAAAAUGAUUCGGAAAGCUUUUUUUUUUUUUGAGACGGAGUCUUGCUCUGUCGCCCAGGCUCAGUGGCACUAUCUCGGCUUACUGCAAGCUCCGCCUUCUGGGUUCACACCAAUCUCGUGCCUCAGCCUCCGCAGUAGCUGGGACUACAGGAGCCCGCCACCACGCCCGGCUAAUUUUUUUGUAUUUUUAGUAGGGACGGGGUUUCACUGUGUUAGCCAUGAUGGUCUCGAUCUCCUGACUUCGUGAUCUGCCCGCCUCGGCCUCCCAAAGUGCUGGGAUUACAGGCAUGAGCCACUGCGCCUGGCCGGAAAGAUUUCCUUAAAACAAAAGUGCAUGGAAUUGCUGUUCUUACAUUUGUUUAUUGUGAUAUUUCACUGUUGCAUACCCUGAUACCAAAUUAGUGUAAGUACUGUGUAAGAAAAAAACAAACAAACAUGUAACUAAAUACUUUUCCAUACCGUUUUCCAAGUCAAGAAUGACCAGAAAAAGUAGGUAGUCUCUCAUAUUUGUUUAGCAUGUCCACUUUUUACUUAUUGUUAAAUUACUCAGUCUCAAAUUGUACAAUGCUUGAAAACAGAUAUGACAAUUUCUGAGAUUAAACUUUAUUAAAGUUACUUUUCCAGAAAAUUCAGUAAAUAUGGUAAUAUAGGAACAAACUUAGGCUCAUAAGCCUUUUAACUUUUUACAUAAUCUUUAAUGAUGUUGAUCAGGAAAUUCUUUCAUUGGUGGAAUUACUUCUCCAGUCUCCAGAAUUGUAUCACCAGGGAAUAUUCUGGACUUCUUUUCAACUAUGCCAUAUGGUUUUUCCUGUAAUAAAAACUUCAUGUAAUAAUGAAUAAUCCAGACAGGUACAAGUACAUGAGUGAAAACAAAGAUACUCUUUUUGUAUACCCC